RNAcentral lists this unclassified non-coding RNA (633 nucleotides) under Hevea brasiliensis (rubber tree). The record is from RNAcentral. Lineage: Eukaryota; Viridiplantae; Streptophyta; Magnoliopsida; Malpighiales; Euphorbiaceae.
CAGAACUCUGUGAACAAACUUGAAGUGAAAUUCAAAACAAGAUCAUACAUAAGACCACAAAUAGUAACUAAAAAGCUCUCUGGGGCAAGUUUAUGCUUCUACGCAGAGAUGAAUAUAGCAGACGCAGCAGUGAUGGCAAUGGUACAUCCAAGUUGAAUCUGUCGCAUGACCCCAAAUGAUUUAGGCUCCACCGUUGUUGACCCGGUGGUUGGGGAAGCAGGAGUAGUAGUAGAAGCCUUGGUACUAUUGGCGAAGAUGGCAUUGUCGGGGGAGCUCGGAGACAAUCCUAAAAGCUUAGGGCAGUCGUUAACACUGGCAUUAGUCAGCUUACAUGCCUGGGGAAGCAGGAGGAGGCGGGAUAUCUGCAGGCCGAGGCUCUUCGUAGUAGCACCUCCUUUGCUGGCUUGCUGAAUAAUGUAGCAUAGGCAUUCGGGAUCACUCCCUCGUAUGCCAGCCACCGAAGUGCAGCACUCACUGGUCGGGGCAUCGGCCUGGGCGGUGGCGUAGUUCAGGCACGACAUCAGCUUUGUCAGCUCCGGCGAGCACUUGGUCUGCAAGUCCUCGCAGGACCCCAGCCCAAGCAGCAAGACGAGGAUCAAGAUAAACUGAAUGCCACCCAUUUUCGUAGUUCUC